UACGUAGGUGGCAAGCGUUGUCCGGAUUUAUUGGGUUUAAAGGGUGCGUAGGCGGUCUUUUAAGUCAGUGCUGAAAUACUCCAGCUUAACUGGAGGGGUGGCAUUGAUACUGGGAGACUUGAGUGUAGUCGAGGUAGGCGGAAUUGACGGUGUAGCGGUGAAAUGCUUAGAUAUCAGGAAGAACACCGAUGGCGAAGGCAGCUCUCUGGGACGGUACUGACGCUGAGACGCGAAAGCGUGGGGAGCGAACAGG
This 253-nucleotide ribosomal RNA is filed under the name uncultured bacterium. RNAcentral describes it as "partial 16S ribosomal RNA". It matches the Rfam family "Bacterial small subunit ribosomal RNA", at positions 524 to 776 of the family's 1533-position model. The record is from RNAcentral.